AUGUGGGACCCACAUGUAAGUUCUCUCUUCUUCCUCUUAUUUUUUCUCCUCUACCUUCUCCACCAACUCCACCACCACACCUCCACCACCUGCCGCAGGCCAAGCCAGGUCGGACCGCGAGACGGGCCGCCGCACAAACUGCCGCGCCACCACCGGCACUCCCGUCUCCUCGGCGCCGUCGUACAUCGCCGGCAACUGCUUCGCAUCGCCGCAUUGACCCCUGCCCCGCAUCGACAUCGAGCCGCUUGCUACCGGCGCCCUCGUCCACGCACCUGGGAGAGCACGCCGGAGGUUGGGGCACCAAGAGGUGGAGGCUGA
Molecule: ribosomal RNA, 318 nt
Filed under: Triticum aestivum (bread wheat)
Lineage: Eukaryota; Viridiplantae; Streptophyta; Magnoliopsida; Poales; Poaceae
Description: partial small subunit ribosomal RNA
Source: RNAcentral